GCAUGGUUGUCGUCAGCUCGUGUCGUGAGAUGUUGGGUUAAGUCCCGCAACGAGCGCAACCCUUAAGCUUAGUUGCCAUCAUUAAGUUGGGCACUCUAAGUUGACUGCCGGUGACAAACCGGAGGAAGGUGGGGAUGACGUCAAAUCAUCAUGCCCCUUAUGAUUUGGGCUACACACGUGCUACAAUGGACAAUACAAAGGGCAGCGAAACCGCGAGGUCAAGCAAAUCCCAUAAAGUUGUUCUCAGUUCGGAUUGUAGUCUGCAACUCGACUACAUGAAGCUGGAAUCGCUAGUAAUCGUAGAUCAGCAUGCUACGGUGAAUACGUUCCCGGGUCUUGUACACACCGCCCGUCACACCACGAGAGUUUGUAACACCCGAAGCCGGUGGAGUAACCAUUUGGAGCUAGCCGUCGAAGGUGGGACAAAUGAUUGGGG
Molecule: ribosomal RNA, 436 nt
Filed under: Staphylococcus sp. HMSC074C02
Lineage: Bacteria; Bacillati; Bacillota; Bacilli; Caryophanales; Staphylococcaceae
Description: bacterial SSU rRNA
Rfam family: Bacterial small subunit ribosomal RNA
Source: RNAcentral